CGUUUAUAUUUAUUUUUACAUUGGACAAGAAUUGUUGAAUCAAAGUAAUUACGUUUUUGAAGAAUUGUGUCAAGUACCGUUUUACAUGUUAUCGAUAAAAACGCAAAAGUUAUUUUUAUUUUUAAUAACCAGAAGCAUGCAACCGAGUUUUCUUUCGAUCGGUGGUUUGUUCGUAUCAUCCCUCGAAGUUUUGUCAGCGUUAAUGCAAAAAACAUUUUCAUUUGCAACUGUUUUUCACAGUUUCAAAUCAUGAAAUCAAGUAAUAACGAAAAUGAAAUAUAC
Molecule: long non-coding RNA, 282 nt
Organism: Polistes dominula (European paper wasp)
Lineage: Eukaryota; Metazoa; Arthropoda; Insecta; Hymenoptera; Vespidae
Source: RefSeq, a predicted model, not a curated record